RNAcentral lists this ribosomal RNA (465 nucleotides) under uncultured bacterium. RNAcentral's name for it is "partial 16S ribosomal RNA". It matches the Rfam family "Bacterial small subunit ribosomal RNA", at positions 28 to 507 of the family's 1533-position model. The record is from RNAcentral.
GACGAACGCUGGCGGCGUGCUUAACACAUGCAAGUCGAACAGAAAGGCCCUGCUUGCAGGGUACUCGAGUGGCGAACGGGUGAGUAACACGUGGGUGAUCUGCCCUGCACUUCGGGAUAAGCCUGGGAAACUGGGUCUAAUACCGGAUAUGACCUUCCAUGUAGUGUGGGGGGUGGAAAGAUUUAUCGGUGUGGGAUGAGCCCGCGGCCUAUCAGCUUGUUGGUGGGGUAAUGGCCUACCAAGGCGUCGACGGGUAGCCGGCCUGAGAGGGUGGACGGCCACAUUGGGACUGAGAUACGGCCCAGACUCCUACGGGAGGCAGCAGUGGGGAAUAUUGCACAAUGGGCGGAAGCCUUAUGCAGCGACGCCGCGUGGGGGAUGACGGCCUUCGGGUUGUAAACCUCUUUCGACAGGGACGAAGCUUCGGUGACGGUACCUGUAGAAGAAGCACCGGCUAACUACGUG